CCUACGGGAGGCAGCAGUGAGGAAUAUUGGUCAAUGGGCGCGAGCCUGAACCAGCCAAGUCGCGUGAGGGAAGACGGUCCUAUGGAUUGUAAACCUCUUUUGUCAGGGAGCAACGCCGGCUACGUGUAGCCGGACUGAGAGUACCUGAAGAAAAAGCAUCGGCUAACUCCGUGCCAGCAGCCGCGGUAAUACGGAGGAUGCGAGCGUUAUCCGGAUUUAUUGGGUUUAAAGGGUGCGUAGGCGGAAUGCCAAGUCAGCGGUAAAAUCGCGGGGCUCAACCUCGCUCCGCCGUUGAAACUGGCGUUCUUGAGUGGGCGAGAAGUAUGCGGAAUGCGUGGUGUAGCGGUGAAAUGCAUAGAUAUCACGAAGAACUCCGAUUGCGAAGGCAGUUCACUGGACUGCAACUGACACUGAGGCUCGAAAGUGUGGGUAUCAAACAGGAUUAGAUACCCUUGUAGUC
RNAcentral lists this ribosomal RNA (460 nucleotides) under uncultured bacterium. RNAcentral's name for it is "partial 16S ribosomal RNA". It matches the Rfam family "Bacterial small subunit ribosomal RNA", at positions 338 to 795 of the family's 1533-position model. The record is from RNAcentral.